GUCCUUACCCAUUAAAAGGAUCAAUAACAUCCUUCCCAGAGCCUCCAGACCAAAUAUACACAGAACAGACACCUGAACUGGAAGGGAUGAGUAAGGCACCCUUGGAGACACGCUUCCCUACAGAAGUGGAGUUGCAGUGUGUUUCUGAGGCAUUUGAUGCUCCCUUGAGUGAGAUUGAUUUUGGGAAGAACAGCUGGAGGUUGGAGCAGGGGGCCAGAAGUCUUAUUUUUCUGGGAAGGAUCCUGAUUCUAGUCUGGAGACCAAGUGCAAAGUUUAGUUGGAAUUCCCUACAAAUUUUGGAAAUAUUCAAAAAAUUUCAUCAGUUCCUGUACUGUUUCAGGGCCAGUAUGGGGCUACGUAGGGCUCAUGUUGGCUGCAGUUUCUCACCCAGGAGGAGCUUCUUCACCCUGCUGAAUAACUUGCAGUGUGUAGCAGACCCAGAAUCUGAAAUGUAAGAGCAGCGGGUCAGGGGAGCGAGGGUUCAGUGGAGUAAACUGCUGUGGCCAGUCAAAGCUGGGACUCUGGAAGGGGUCACACGCUUGGGACUGUGCUGUGAGCUCCCACCCCAACAGUGGGAACAACUUUUGCAUAAUUCAGUUACACCUUGGAAGCAGUUAAAGCAAUUAAACAGCAAACUUGGCAUAAUUACUAGUUAAUAGUCAAAGCCAGUGCUCCUAAAGUGUAAAUUGUUUUGGUAUUGAUCUAAGCUUACACUGUCAGCAUUUUGUAGAGACUGAACUUUAAGUGCUUAAUUCAGCUGUAUGCAACCAUUAAUUUUGUUUUUUAUCUGCAAACAAAGGUGCAAGUGGUUAUUCUAUUUUUCUGCAAUAAUAAAAUCAAUUAAACUGUUUUCCCCCA
Molecule: long non-coding RNA, 858 nt
Filed under: Cyanistes caeruleus (blue tit)
Lineage: Eukaryota; Metazoa; Chordata; Aves; Passeriformes; Paridae
Description: lncRNA (ENSCCEG00000021058.1)
Source: RNAcentral